GGGAAACGGCAUUAUGUGCUUGCACAUUUUGGACGUCGACCGGCGCACGGGUGAGUAUCGCGUAUCCAACCUGCCCUUUACUUGGGGAUACCCCGUUGAAAGACGGCCUAAUACCCGAUGUAAUUCAUUGAUGGCAUCAGAUAUGAAUAAAAGAUUUAUCGGUAAAGGAUGGGGAUGCGUCUGAUUAGCUUGUUGGUGAGGUAAUGGCUCACCAAGGCUACGAUCAGUAGGGGUUCUGAGAGGAAGGUCCCCCACAUUGGAACUGAGACACGGUCCAAACUCCUACGGGAGGCAGCAGUGAGGAAUAUUGGUCAAUGGACGUAAGUCUGAACCAGCCAAGUAGCGUGCAGGACGACGGCCCUAUGGGUUGUAAACUGCUUUUAUACGAGAAUAAUUUGAUGCACGUGUGCGUUAUUGCAUGUAUCGUAUGAAUAAGGACCGGCUAAUUCCGUGCCAGCAGCCGCGGUAAUACGGAAGGUCCAGGCGUUAUCCGGAUUUAUUGGGUUUAAAGGGAGUGUAGGCGGUUUGUUAAGCGUGUUGUGAAAUUUAGGUGCUCAACAUUUAACUUGCAGCGCGAACUGUCAGACUUGAGUACACGCAACGUAUGCGGAAUUCAUGGUGUAGCGGUGAAAUGCUUAGAUAUCAUGAAGAACUCCGAUUGCGAAGGCAGCAUACGGGAGUGUAACUGACGCUUAAGCUCGAAGGUGCGGGUAUCGAACAGGAUUGGAUANCCUGGUAGUCCGCACAGUAAACGAUGGAUGCCCGCUGUUAGCGCCUGGCGUUAGC
This 786-nucleotide ribosomal RNA is filed under the name uncultured Bacteroidota bacterium. Its description in RNAcentral is "bacterial SSU rRNA". It matches the Rfam family "Bacterial small subunit ribosomal RNA", at positions 67 to 844 of the family's 1533-position model. The record is from RNAcentral. Lineage: Bacteria; Pseudomonadati; Bacteroidota.